This 367-nucleotide long non-coding RNA is filed under the name Homo sapiens (human). RNAcentral describes it as "HSALNT0300403". The record is from RNAcentral. Lineage: Eukaryota; Metazoa; Chordata; Mammalia; Primates; Hominidae.
AUUCAGUCAGGCAGGUGUUAGGGGGAGCCCUACCUUCCACCCAGGAUGCCCAGAUCGGGAGGAUCCAGGUCAGGAAGGUCUGGAGGACAUUUGGACACAGACACAGGCCAUGUGAGCAUGAAGGCAGAGACUGGGAGAUGCAUCUAGAAGCCAAGGAACGUGGAAGAUGGCCAGCAAACUGCCAGACACAGAGGGAGAGGCCUGGAGCAGUCUCCCUUAUAGCCCCAGGAGGAACCAACCCUGUUUGCACGUUGCUGUUGGACUUCUGGCCUCCAGAACUGGGAGACAACACGUUUUGGUGGCUUAAGCCACCAACGAUAUUCAUGCAGCCCCUGUGGAGGUCAAGGGAUUUGUUCCAGAGCUCUGG